GUAACGCGUAGGCAACCUACCCUUCAGUGGAGGACAACUUUUCGAAAGGAAAGCUAAUACUGCGUAAGACCACAGCUACCUCGGUAGCAGCGGUCAAAGAUGGCCUCUACUUGUAAGCUAUCGCUGAAGGAGGGACUGCGUCCCAUCAGCUUGUUGGUGAGGUAAUGGCUCACCAAGGCUAAGACGGGUAGCUGGUCUGAGAGGAUAAUCAGCCACACUGGUACUGGAACACGGACCAGACUCCUACGGGAGGCAGCAGUGAGGAAUAUUGGGCAAUGGGCGCAAGCCUGACCCAGCCACGCCGCGUGGGUGAUGAAGGCCUUCGGGUCGUAAAGCUCUGUGGGGAGGGACGAAAACGUCGGUCAAGAAACGGGCUGGCCUUGACGGUACCUCCUUAGCAAGCACCGGCUAACUCUGUGCCAGCAGCCGCGGUAAGACAGAGGGUGCGAACGUUGCUCGGAAUUACUGGGCGUAAAGCGCGUGUAGGCGGACUUGUAAGUCGGGUGUGAAAUCCCUGGGCUCAACCCAGGAACUGCACUCGAAACUACAAGUCUUGAGUAGUGGAGAGGUAUGGCGGAAUUCCCGGUGUAGAGGUGAAAUUCGUAGAUAUCGGGAGGAACACCAGUGGCGAAGGCGGCCUACUGGACACUUACUGACGCUGAGACGCGAAAGCGUGGGGAGCAAACAGGAUUAGAUACCCUGGUAGUCCACGCCGUAAACGAUGAGUGCUAGGUGUCGCAGGUAUUGACCCCUGCGGUGCCGUAGUCAACGCGUUAAGCACUCCGCCUGGGG
RNAcentral lists this ribosomal RNA (792 nucleotides) under uncultured bacterium. RNAcentral describes it as "bacterial SSU rRNA". It matches the Rfam family "Bacterial small subunit ribosomal RNA", at positions 110 to 878 of the family's 1533-position model. The record is from RNAcentral.